CCUACGGGAGGCAGCAGUGGGGGAUAUUGCACAAUGGGGGGAACCCUGAUGCAGCGACGCCGCGUGGGUGAAGAAGCGCCUCGGCGCGUAAAGCCCUGUCAGCAGGGAAGAAAAUGACGGUACCUGAAGAAGAAGCCCCGGCUAACUACGUGCCAGCAGCCGCGGGAAUACGGAGGGGGCAAGCGUUAUCCGGAUUUACUGGGUGUAAAGGGGGCGCAGACGGCGAUGCAAGCCAGGAGUGAAAGCCCGGGGCCCAAACCCGGGACUGCUCUUGGAACUGCGUGGCUGGAGUGCAGGAGGGGUAGGCGGAAUUCCUGGUGUAGCGGUGAAAUGCGUAGAUAUCAGGAGGAACACCGGUGGCGAAGGCGGCCUGCUGGACUGCAACUGACGUUGAGGCCCGAAAGCGUGGGGAGCAAACAGGAGUAGAUACCCGGGUAGUC
This 440-nucleotide ribosomal RNA is filed under the name uncultured bacterium. Its description in RNAcentral is "partial 16S ribosomal RNA". It matches the Rfam family "Bacterial small subunit ribosomal RNA", at positions 338 to 795 of the family's 1533-position model. The record is from RNAcentral.